CACAGCUGACUGCCUGUAUUUCCACCAUGAAGACUCUGACUGGCUCUGUGCCAUCAAACCAGUCCUACUGCCUAAAGUUGGGAGGAAACCUUCAGCAGCACAGGAAUGAUGAUUGAUGGGCUCCCGGUUGGCUCAGUGGGUAGAGCAGGCGCACAUAUA
Sander lucioperca (pikeperch) is the source of this 159-nucleotide long non-coding RNA. RefSeq lists it as uncharacterized. The transcript is spliced from 4 exons. The record is from RefSeq and is a predicted model, not a curated record. NCBI's taxonomy places the organism in Eukaryota, Metazoa, Chordata, Actinopteri, Perciformes, Percidae.